Molecule: ribosomal RNA, 450 nt
Filed under: uncultured bacterium
Lineage: Bacteria
Description: partial 16S ribosomal RNA
Rfam family: Bacterial small subunit ribosomal RNA
Source: RNAcentral
CCUACGGGGGGCUGCAGUAAGGAAUAUUGGUCAAUGGACGAAAGUCUGAACCAGCCAUCCCGCGUGCAGGAUGAAAGCCCUAUGGGUUGUAAACUGCUUUUAGCAGAGAAGAAAAGCUUUCAUUAAUGAGAGUCUGACGGUAUCUGCAGAAUAAGCACCGGCUAACUCCGUGCCAGCAGCCGCGGUAAUACGGAGGGUGCGAGCGUUAUCCGGUAUUACGGGGUUGAAGGGGGAGUUUUACGGAAUAUUAGGAAGCUUGUCGCUUAACGAUAAAAGUGACAAUGAUACUGGUACUGUUGAAUUGGGUUGAGGUUAGCGGAAUGUGACAUGUAGCGGUGAAAUGCAUAGAUAUGUCAUGGAACACCAAUUGCGAAGGCAGCUAACUGGGCCUUGAUUGACGCUGAGGCACGAAAGCGUGGGUAGCGAACAGGAUUAGAUACCCGGGUAGUC